RNA transcript from Panonychus citri (citrus red mite), 2756 nucleotides. It is a transcript of the gene named choline/ethanolamine kinase-like, with no coding region annotated. The record is from RefSeq and is a predicted model, not a curated record. Lineage: Eukaryota; Metazoa; Arthropoda; Arachnida; Trombidiformes; Tetranychidae. The transcript has 4 exons.
GGGUGCAGCUCUCACUAUCUUUAAAUCUAAUUGGUUUCACUCAUUUAUUUUUCUCAUUAAUUUAGUGAUUACACUGAACUGAAUUUCAUCUCUUACAAUUAACUAUAAUUCUUUAAUUUACCUUAAUCGAUAUAUUCCAUCACCAAUAGAAGGCGCCUAGAAUAUUCUAUCCUUCUCUCCCUCCUUGCCUCCAUUUUUAUUCACUUAUUUUCUCCUGCAAAUGAAUUCAAGCUUCAGAGUUUUAUUCAAUGGUAUUCGCAAGAUGAUGUCAACAUCAACACUAAAUGUGGAUUCUUUACGUGAUAAGGCUUUCAACAUUUGUCGAGAAUAUCUUUCAGGCUCUUGGAAGGAAAUUCAGCCCAAUGACAUGAUCUUUCAUUCCAUCAGUGGUGGUCUCAGUAAUAUCUUGUAUUAUUGUUCUCUACCCUCAACUCAUACUCCUUUAUGUGGUGAACCAAGUCAAGUAUUACUCAGAAUGUAUGGGCAACUUCACUCUGACGAUACGACACAAAACGAGAACAAAAUGACAGAAUCAGUGAUUUUCAUGUUAUUAUCUGAGAGAAACUUGGGACCCAAAUUGUAUGGAAUCUUUCCCGGUGGACGACUUGAAGAAUAUAUUCCGGCACAAGCGAUGACCUGUGAUCAGCUUCGUGAUCCAGUUCUUUCCUCAACCAUUGCCCAUAAAUUAGCCCAUGUUCACAGUCUUGAUGUUCCCAUUAACAAAGAGCCUACUUGGCUUUUCGAUAACAUGUACUCUUGGUUGGAAAGUGCUCGUCGAGUUGACCUGAAAAUGGUUAAACCCGAGUAUCGAUGUGUCGCCAAGAAACUCCUCAGUUUUCCUUAUGAAGAUGAACUUAUCUGGUUGAAAAGUUUCCUCUCUUCUGUCCAAUCUCCUGUAGUAUUUUGCCACAAUGAUCUUCAAGAAGGUAACAUUCUGCUUCCUGGUAUCCCCACAACACCAAGUAGUUUCCGUAAUCGUAAUCGGUCCAAUGGAUCUUCAAACGGAUCCAAUCGAACCCUUGAACCCAAGGUUAUCUUCAUAGACUUUGAAUAUUGUUCGUACAAUCAUCGUGGUUUUGAUUUCGCCAAUCAUUUCCUUGAAUGGACAUAUGAUUAUUCAGCACAAGAGUGGCCUCAUUUUUACCAUAAACCGGAAAAUUAUCCAAGCGAAAGUCAGAGACGACAUUUUGUCCGAGAAUAUCUGAAGGCUGUCGAUAGAUCGAGACCAAGAACAGAAGUCGACAAUGAGGAUCAUAUCUUACGGGAAGCGGACGCUUACUCAUUAGCAUCUCAUUUACUUUGGACACUUUGGAGUAUCAAUCAUGGAGUCUCAUCGGAAAUUGUUUUCGGUUAUUGGGAAUUUGGAGAAAUGCGAUUGAAAAGUUAUAUCAACAAAAAGAGGGAUUUUACUGAGCAAUUAACUUCUAAAUCGCGAUCACCGUAACAAUAAUCAUCUAUAAACAAUCAUCUCAACCCUGGUUGAUUACUGAUUACGUCGUCAGUUUUUUAACAUUGCACAUUCUCACUUCAUGACAGCCAAUCUCAUCUUCACCAAAUCAUCCGAUUGGUUGAAAGUUCAGUAAUACAAUUUCAAAAUAUCAGAAAACUCGAACAGUUUUUCCCCAUGGCACGUCACAAUAUUCACACAUACUAAAGCAAACACUUCCGUCCUGAACUGUUUCCCUGUUUCACAGUUAACCAUCAACACUUAAUUACUAUCAUAUUAAUUUUUUUAAUGUCACCUUCCAAUACUUUUGGUUGAAAGAUUAGAAGUCGAUUGGGUCAGUAGCCAUUUGUGGCCCCAAUAACCACCGAUAAGAGCCGAUAUUCGGAUUCGUCAAAGAAAGAAAGCAAAACGAAACAAAGUCAAACCAUAAUGGUCUCCAAAAAAAGAAAAAGAAAACUUAACCUUCGUACUUAUGAUUCCCUUGAUAUUGAUCUUCUUUAACCUUUUUCUUUUCCUUUACUCCGACGGACAAAGAUUGUGGAUAAUCAUUCAAUCUGAGAAAAGAAUCAAGUUUAAUUCUAAACAAUUGGGAGAAUUGGAUUGUCAAUAGUUUUUGGAUUUCAGUUUGUCUCAGUUUCAUAUCCCUCAAGUUAAAUCGUAUCGACGAUUAUGAUGGUCAACUGAAUUUCUUGGAAUCGUCUUUCCAGUCGAGGAAAUUUGCCGAUUUCCAGUGCUACAAAAUAGAUCAAUUUUUAGAAAAAAAAAAUAUCAUCAUGGAUUCUGAUACACACACAUAUUUAACUUUCUUUCCUAAUUUCUUAACGAAAACAUCUACAAUUAACUUUUCUAGUGUAACUUAAUUCUGUCACAAUUAACUUACACUCAGUCAAUUUUGUAGUUUAAUUUGUUUUAUUUAUAUGGAAAAUUUUCUCUCUGUUUUAACCUGGUCUCGAAAAUUUCACUCUAAACAAAUUUAUUUUGGUAGAAUUGCAAUCAAAUUGAUAUUUAAUCGUUUCCAAUGAUUAAGAAAUUUUUUUCUAACAUGGACAAUUCUGUAAACCAUUUAUAGUGCAAUUCAUCCUGAUCUUAUUACAAUCGAGUGAAUCAACAAUUAAGAUAUAUUUUGGUUAAAACUUUUAAACAAUUUUCUUUCCUUUGAUGAUUAUUGAUUAUUUUUGAUUUUGUUUAAAAUACCCAAUCCAACUCAUCUAAUUAAAUGUUACUUUAUUUUUCUUUUCUUGAUUUGGACUUAAUUACAAUCAAUUAAAUGAAUAAACAAUUCGUUUACAUUCAAACGAUAAAAACUUUA